CCUACGGGUGGCACCAGUGGGGAAUUUUGGACAAUGGGCGCAAGCCUGAUCCAGCCAUGCCGCGUGCAGGAUGAAGGCCUUCGGGUUGUAAACUGCUUUUGUACGGAACGAAAAGGUUCUUUCUAAUAAAGAGAGCCCAUGACGGUACCGUAAGAAUAAGCACCGGCUAACUACGUGCCAGCAGCCGCGGUAAUACGUAGGGUGCAAGCGUUAAUCGGAAUUACUGGGCGUAAAGCGUGCGCAGGCGGUUAUGUAAGACGGAUGUGAAAUCCCCGGGCUCAACCUGGGAACUGCAUUUGUGACUGCAUAGCUAGAGUACGGCAGAGGGGGAUGGAAUUCCGCGUGUAGCAGUGAAAUGCGUAGAUAUGCGGAGGAACACCGAUGGCGAAGGCAAUCCCCUGGGCCUGUACUGACGCUCAUGCACGAAAGCGUGGGGAGCAAACAGGAUUAGAUACCCUGGUAGUC
Molecule: ribosomal RNA, 465 nt
Filed under: uncultured bacterium
Lineage: Bacteria
Description: bacterial SSU rRNA
Rfam family: Bacterial small subunit ribosomal RNA
Source: RNAcentral